AGCCUAAUGAUACAUUAUAUUAGGUUAGCUCUGCCCAGUGAAAUUUUAACGGCCGCGGUAUCCUAACCGUGCAAAGGUAGCAUAAUAAUUUGCCCCCUAAUUGAGGGCUAGAAUGAAAGAGUAAACGAGAGUUAUACUGUCUCAAACAAGAUCAUAUAAUCUAACCCUUAAGUGAAGAGACUUAAAUUAAACUAAAAGACAAAAAGACCCUGUCGAGCUUUAAUAAAAUUAAUAUACACUUUAAUAUUAAAACCUAUUUUUGUUGGGGCGACAAAGGAGCAAUUAAAACCUCCUAACUAUACAGACCCCUUGUCAAACAAAUGACCCUUAUAAUUGAUCAUUGGACUAGCUACCGCAGGGAUAACAGACUAAUUUUCUUUUCAAGCCCUUAUUAACAAGAAAGUUUGGCACCUCGAUGUUGGCUUAGGAGUUCUUCUAAGCGCAAGAGCAUAGAAAGAGGGUGUGUUCACCCCUUAAAUU
RNAcentral lists this ribosomal RNA (480 nucleotides) under Nothria otsuchiensis complex sp. W49026. Its description in RNAcentral is "partial 16S ribosomal RNA". It matches the Rfam family "Bacterial large subunit ribosomal RNA", at positions 1829 to 2594 of the family's 2925-position model. Lineage: Eukaryota; Metazoa; Annelida; Polychaeta; Eunicida; Onuphidae. The record is from RNAcentral.